GCGGGUAUAGCACAGUGGUAGUGCACUAGCUUCCCAAGCUAGCCACGCGGGUUCGAUUCCCGCUACCCGCU
Molecule: transfer RNA, 71 nt
Filed under: Candidatus Omnitrophota bacterium
Lineage: Bacteria; Pseudomonadati; Candidatus Omnitrophota
Description: Candidatus Omnitrophica bacterium (groundwater metagenome) tRNA-Gly
Rfam family: tRNA
About the family: Transfer RNA (tRNA) molecules are approximately 80 nucleotides in length. Their secondary structure includes four short double-helical elements and three loops (D, anti-codon, and T loops).
Source: RNAcentral